UCGUUACAGGUUCUCAGUGUGCUUCUGCCAAAACCCAAAUUUUCUAUGGUUGACCUCGGAUCAGGUAGGGAUACCCGCUGAACUUAAGCAUAUCAAUAAGCGGAGGAAAAGAAAACAACUGGGAUUGCCCCAGUAACGGC
RNAcentral lists this ribosomal RNA (140 nucleotides) under Monilinia fructicola. RNAcentral describes it as "partial 28S ribosomal RNA". The stretch from base 51 to 140 matches the Rfam family "Eukaryotic large subunit ribosomal RNA", at positions 1 to 90 of the family's 3401-position model. The record is from RNAcentral. Lineage: Eukaryota; Fungi; Ascomycota; Leotiomycetes; Helotiales; Sclerotiniaceae.